CCUACGGGAGGCAGCAGUGAGGAAUAUUGGUCAAUGGGCGCGAGCCUGAACCAGCCAAGUAGCGUGAAGGAUGACUGCCCUACGGGUUGUAAACUUCUUUUAUAAAGGAAUAAAGUGAGGCACGUGUGCCUUUUUGUAUGUACUUUAUGAAUUAGGAUCGGCUAACUCCGUGCCAGAAGCCGCGGUAAUAGGGGGGAUCCGAGAGUUAUCCGGAUUUAGUGGGUUUAAAGGGAGCGUUGGCGGAGGGUUAAGUCAGUGGUGAAAUUGAGGGGCUCAACCCCUGCCCGCCCUUGAAACUGGCGCUCUUGAGUGGAAGAGAAGUAUGCGGAAUGCGUGGUGUAGCGGUGAAAUGCAUAGAUAUCACGCAGAACCCCGAUUGCGAAGGCAGCAUGCCGGCUUCCGACUGACGCUGAAGCACGAAAGCGUGGGGAUCGAACAGGAUUAGAUACCCCUGUAGUC
RNAcentral lists this ribosomal RNA (459 nucleotides) under uncultured bacterium. RNAcentral describes it as "partial 16S ribosomal RNA". It matches the Rfam family "Bacterial small subunit ribosomal RNA", at positions 338 to 795 of the family's 1533-position model. The record is from RNAcentral.